GGGCCCGUAGCUCAGCCAGGUAGAGCGGCGGGCUCUUAACCCGUAGACCAAAGAGGGCGGAGGUCCCGGGUUCAAAUCCCGGCGGGCCCGCCA
Molecule: transfer RNA, 93 nt
Filed under: Ignisphaera aggregans
Lineage: Archaea; Thermoproteati; Thermoproteota; Thermoprotei; Desulfurococcales; Desulfurococcaceae
Description: tRNA-Lys
Rfam family: tRNA
About the family: Transfer RNA (tRNA) molecules are approximately 80 nucleotides in length.
Source: RNAcentral